This is a non-coding RNA of Equus caballus (horse), 2894 nucleotides long. NCBI's taxonomy places the organism in Eukaryota, Metazoa, Chordata, Mammalia, Perissodactyla, Equidae. The record is from RefSeq and is a predicted model, not a curated record.
CCGGGCCGCGGCCUGAGCCGGGAACUCGCGAGGGUGGGAGGGAAGGACGGGAAGGGAGCCGCUCGUGAGGAACCCCCCGGUCUGAACCUCCCUCUCCGGGAUCCGCUGGGCGCACAGAGCGCCACCUCCGGCCGAGGCGCGGCACGGAGCGCGGUGCGGGGGAGCGACGCGCGGGAGGCCGAGGCCUGCGCGGGGCCGGACGGCUCCCCCGCCACGAAAGGGCAGGUGCGCCCUGGUGGACGGAUCCCGCCCGCCUAGGCCAGGUGGGAUCGGACCCCGGCCGCGGAGGGUCCCUUGAGGACCAGGCAUAGAGGGGUGGCUGGGCAUGCCACCGCGAAGCUAGACGGCCCAGGCCCCUGGAGGCCAGGAGGUGCCCGGGUGGGUGGGCCCCGAGAAUUCUGCCAGGCCUGGCCCUCAGCCCCCAGCGCCCCCGUCCCGUGGGCUAGGCCCGCGCCCCCUCCGGCCGCCCUCCGGCCACACAAAGGCAGUAAAGGCGCAGCCCGCGGGCGCUCUUUCAUCCCCGCCUCGGCGGGCUUCGGCAUUUCAAAGGCCCAGUCCCAAGGGCGCUUCGGGGGGCGCUCCCCUUCCCCCCAAAUACCGGGAGAGGUGGGGGCGGGGCCUCUCCUGCAGUGUCUGGAGGGCCCGGGUCCACAGCGCCCUCCCUCCCGGAGCCUUCACACACCUGCGGCCGCCGGCGGCCCUGCCUCCCCCUGGGCCACAGCCCCACCCUGCGACCCUGAUGCCAGCGCCCUCCCCGGCGGUCAGGAUGGAAGUCCCAGGGAGAACCAGGGAAAACUUGGAAAGGUCUGGAGGGCACGUGAGAGCCAGUCGUGUCUGUCCAGGUGGAACCUCCUGUGGCUUCCGAGAGGGAGACCGCUGGGCAAUUUCUGGAAGGAUGCCAGAAGUGCAGCGUGGGGACUGGGCCUGGACGCGGUCUGAUGGUUAUCCCCAAAGCUGACCAUGUCACGCCCACUGAGCCUCCGACUCCUGGCGGGCAGAGAAGACCCCAGAACACGUCUUUGGGGUUAAAGGACAAGGUUUGAUAACGGGUGUGGGAAUGAAGGAGGAAAGGUUGGUUGAAUUGAGGACGGGGGCGCGGGUCCCUCCCAGCUCCAACCUCUGCACAGAGGGUCGCUGGUUCCCCCCGGGGAGGGGGGGGCUCCGCAACACCCCUGAGCAGCCCGUCCUGGCCUGGCACUUCAGGGGCGCCCAGUUCGAGUUUGGGGCCAGGAGGGGAGGUCUGGGGACGCCUUGGGGCGUCGUCCCCGGGAGUCUCCGGCCAGAGCGAGGGCGGGGAGCACGGGGAGGCCCGGAGAGCUGCGGGGGGCAGCGCAGGCCUCGCUCUAAUCGCCGGACGCUAUUAAAAAUAAAACCGCAGCUGGUCGUCAUAGCGACCGCGACAACAGCGGCCGCGAGGGUGGCAGGACUUCUGCAGCCGCGCGACAGCCGCCUUUUUGGGGGACACUCGGGGCACGACGCGCGUGCGAGCACCAGGGCCCGCCCUGGGUGGGACGGGGACGCCCCUAACCCCACGCGCCCCACCCUCCCCCGGAUCCUCGUAAGAAACUGGUCCCUAGAAAGUCUGUUUCCAAGAGCUGGAAAUGGAGACCGGAGGACCGACUUGACCAAGGGGUCACCAAUUUGGCAGACCCCAGGGAGCACAGACCUGUCCCACCUCCCGUGUCACAGAGGGAGCGUUUGAACGCCAAGAAGUCAGGCCACAGGCCCCCGUCCCAGAGCUGGGGAGUGGCGGAGUACCGGGAGGCCGGCUCCCCGACGGCACGGGCCCCUCUGUGCCAGCCUAUUAAAUACACGCGACACAGGACGCAUUUAUCCCACGGUCUGCAGAAGGAUGUGUGGCCACCGGCCAUAAAGGAUGUGGAGCCCAGGCCCACCUGAUCCCCACUGCCAGGGGGGACGGGAGGGGCACACCCGAGUUUUGGCUGCCCUCUGCCCCUUGACCUUGGCCUUCUUGGUGUGGGUCGUCCCCAAUCUGCCCUGGAGAAUGGGGGCCAAUAACCCCCACGCAGGGCCAUCUCCCCCGUCCACGAGGAAUCCACCAGGAAGAGAAGCAGCCAUGCACCUGUGCAUACAUGUACACACACACCUGCAGGGCCGAGGGGGCCCCAGGCCAAGGGCCCGGCUGCGCGGCUGCCUGCUCCCAGGUCACACAGGUGGAGGCCAGUUGGGCAUCCACACCAAGCUCUCUGCCCCAUGCCGGGGUGGAACCAGAACAAUUUGUAAUGACGUAACACCACCGUCCCCUUUAUCUCUGGGCAAGGCUUUCUGGGUUCAGGGCCCUUAAUCCCGGAGCAGCUCAGCCGAGUGGGCACGGCUCCUUGAAGAUCAAAAGUGCCCGUACAGGUGUUAAUUAAGCCAUGCCCCUGGCCCGCCUCAGGCCCCGGAGGCUGGAGGCUCGGCUGGGAAUCAGGCCUUUCCAGUUCAGGCUCCCCAGAAAGGAAGAUAAGCCCGCGAGCAGAGCAGGCCGAGAAGGUGUUCUCAGUGUUGUCUUAACUCCCCAUUAAAUAUUUGUAUUUCCUUUUUUAAGUACACAAACAGAAAUGCAGUUCCAAUCGCGUCGAGCCCGCGAUCCUUUGUGACUGUUUUGUGGGUGAAGGCCGACGUUAAGGGACGCUUGGUGGUGGCUUCAGGAAAUGAAGGCUGUUGCUGGGCUGUGCAAACGGGAGCCACCGGCCCCGAGUGGCCGCUGGGCACGUGGAAUGUGGCUGGUCUGAAUCGUCGUGCUGUGCUGUGCGUGCAAGCUCACAGCCUUCGAGGACCCCGUAGGGAACAAAGGGUGUCAAAUUUCUCAUUGGUAACUUUUUUAUUAAUUAUGUGUUGAAAAGAUAGCAUUUUUUAGAAUGGAGUUAAAUAAACUGUAUGAUUGCAAUUCA